This 1403-nucleotide long non-coding RNA is filed under the name Homo sapiens (human). RNAcentral describes it as "HSALNT0367456". The record is from RNAcentral. Lineage: Eukaryota; Metazoa; Chordata; Mammalia; Primates; Hominidae.
GAUCCACAUGCCUUGGCCUCCCAAGUUGCUGCGAUUACAAGCGUGAGCUACUGUGCCUGGCCUAGGCUAAAUUCUAUUAUAAUAAAACAAGUUCAGCUCAGAUUAAAGGGGUAGAGAAGUAGAUUCUACCUCUUGAUGGGUGGGGUGGCAAAGUCACUUUGCAAAAGCAGGUGGACACAGGAUAUUGUAGUUCAUUGGGAGCCAUUAUAGUAAAAAUAUACCACAAUCUGCAUUCUCUCCCAGUAAUUCAAGUCCCUUCCCAAGACUCCCAAAGUCUCAUCCAGUUAUGGCAUCAUACUCAAAAUCCAUUAUUUUAUAAUCUGUCUGCAUUAGGUCCAAAAGCAGUAUGUGUUCUUCUUGACGCAGACACCAGAGAACUAAAAGAAGUUUGCUGCCCUCCUCACUUCCAUCCAACACACAAAGAAAUGUGCAGAAGUCACCAGAGAUCGAGAAGAAAGGACGUCUAAAAGUCACCACAGAAGAAUAUGACCUAACUAUAGAACAUAGCCAAUAGGAGAUCAUCCUUACAGCCCCAAAGGGCAGAAAAUGAAGUUGACUUAAUCAUCCACUUGUUAGCGCACCUUACUCUAUGAACUCAAAAUGCAGUGGAGAGAAAAGGGAUGGAAGAAAUUUGUUCAUAAUGAGCAAGCUAGGAAGACUGCUGCAAGGUGACUUGAAUUUUUUAAUUUAAAUAUUUUAGACAUAAAAAAGUAUUUGAGGGGUUGAUAGCUUUGGAAGUUAAAGGCUGCUAUCAGCCUGACAGAGCAGUUCAAAAAAACAGCUUGAGGAUACCAAUCAUUUGCUUAUCUUUAUUUUAGUUUCCAAAAUUUCAGAUGGACUUUGUGAAUUGAGACUCUUAGAAAACUGCCAGUUUCUAUGUUUUGAUUUUCGUGAAAAUCAGAACCAAAGAGGAAAAGGUAAGUGAUAAUAUUUUUGGUUUAAGAAAUUAAACCAAAGUGUCAUGGUGCUACUGAGGUGCAGUUUCACAUUCUUUUUUCAGAAGAUGAGCCAAUAACAAAAUGACUCUGUUUUAUAGAAUAUUAUUUUCAGUAUUAGAUAUUACUAAUUAAGUAUUACACAAAGCUGUUUAGCAGAAAAAAUGUGAUUUUUCAGACAGCAGAAGUUGAGGAAGUCUGAGUUUCUGCGUUUUGACACUGACUGGGUAGGAGUUUCUUUGUCUAUAGAACAGGGAUUUGUAGAGGAAGACCUGGCUGCCUUGGUGAGUUACACCCUCUAAUCGUGAGCAUGACGUUGUGUAAAAGGAAAAUUGUCUUUAUUCUUAGGAUUUUUUUUUUCUUUUUUACCUUGUAAUUUAGCAUUAAAAACAGGGAGAGAACAUGCCAGUCGGAAUGGCUAUUAUUAAAAUGUCAAAAAACAACAGAUGCUGGCGAGGUUGCAGAGAA